This 467-nucleotide ribosomal RNA is filed under the name uncultured bacterium. RNAcentral's name for it is "partial 16S ribosomal RNA". It matches the Rfam family "Bacterial small subunit ribosomal RNA", at positions 29 to 507 of the family's 1533-position model. The record is from RNAcentral.
ACGAACGCUGGCGGCGUGCUUCACCCAUGCCAGUCGCACGGAAAGGCCCUGCUUUUGUGGGGUGCUCGAGUGGCGAACGGGUGAGUAACACGUGAGUAACCUGCCCUUGACUUUGGGAUAACUUCAGGAAACUGGGGCUAAUACCGGAUAGGAGCUCCUGCUGCAUGGUGGGGGUUGGAAAGUUUCGGCGGUUGGGGAUGGACUCGCGGCUUAUCAGCUUGUUGGUGGGGUAGUGGCUUACCAAGGCUUUGACGGGUAGCCGGCCUGAGAGGGUGACCGGCCACAUUGGGACUGAGAUACGGCCCAGACUCCUACGGGAGGCAGCAGUGGGGAAUAUUGCACAAUGGGCGGAAGCCUGAUGCAGCAACGCCGCGUGCGGGAUGACGGCCUUCGGGUUGUAAACCGCUUUCGCCUGUGGCGAAGCGUGAGUGACGGUAAUGGGUAAAGAAGCACCGGCUAACUACGUG